GCGGAUGUGGCGGAAUUGGCANNCACUAGACUUAGGAUCUAGCGGGUUACCGUGGGGGUUCGAGUCCCUUCAUCCGCA
RNAcentral lists this transfer RNA (78 nucleotides) under Clostridiales bacterium. RNAcentral's name for it is "tRNA-Leu". It matches the Rfam family "tRNA". From Rfam's summary of the family: Transfer RNA (tRNA) molecules are approximately 80 nucleotides in length. Lineage: Bacteria; Bacillati; Bacillota; Clostridia; Eubacteriales. The record is from RNAcentral.